RNAcentral lists this small RNA (505 nucleotides) under Pan troglodytes (chimpanzee). RNAcentral's name for it is "retained intron". Lineage: Eukaryota; Metazoa; Chordata; Mammalia; Primates; Hominidae. The record is from RNAcentral.
UUUCGCUUUCAUUUUGGGCCGAGCUGGAGGCGGCGGGGCCGUCCCGGAACGGCUGCGGCCGGGCACCCCGGGAGUUAAUCCGAAAGCGCCGCAAGCCCCGCGGGCCGGCCGCACCGCACGUGUCACCGAGAAGCUGAUGUAGAGAGAGACACAGAAAGAGACAGAAAGCAAGAGACCAGAGUCCCGGGAAAGUCCUGCCGCGCCUCGGGACAAUUAUAAAAAUGUGGCCCCCUGGGUCAGCCUCCCAGCCACCGCCCUCACCUGCCGCGGCCACAGGUCUGCAUCCAGCGGCUCGCCCAGUGUCCCUGCAGUGCCGGCUCAGCAUGUGUCCAGCGCGCAGCCUCCUCCUUGUGGCUACCCUGGUCCUCCUGGACCACCUCAGUUUGGCCAGAAACCUCCCCGUGGCCACCCCAGACCCAGGAAUGUUCCCAUGCCUUCACCACUCCCAAAACCUGCUGAGGGCCGUCAGCAACAUGCUCCAGAAGGUGAGCCUUUCCUGUCCUCU